RNAcentral lists this ribosomal RNA (463 nucleotides) under uncultured bacterium. RNAcentral's name for it is "partial 16S ribosomal RNA". It matches the Rfam family "Bacterial small subunit ribosomal RNA", at positions 28 to 507 of the family's 1533-position model. The record is from RNAcentral.
GACGAACGCUGGCGGCGUGCUUAACACAUGCGAGUCGAACGGAAAGGCCUUUUCGGUGGUACUCGAGUGGCGAACGGGUGGGUAACACGUGGGUGAUCUGCCCUGCACUCUGGGAUAAGCCUGGGAAACUGGGUCUAAUACCGGAUAGGACCGCACUUUAGCGUGUGUGGUGGGAAGGUGUUUCGGUGUAGGAUGGGCCCGCGGCCUAUCAGCUUGUUGGUGGGGUAAUGGCCUACCAAGGCGGCGGCGGGUAGCCGGACUGGGGGGUUGGUCGGCCCCAGUGGGACUGGGGUACGGCCCAGACUCCUACGGGGGGCAGCAGUGGGGAAUAUUGCACAAUGGGCGCAAGCCUGAUGCAGCGACGCCGCGUGGGGGAUGACGGCCUUCGGGUUGUAAACUCCUUUCGCCAGGGACGAAGCGUUUUGUGACGGUACCUGGAGAAGAAGCACCGGCUAACUACGUG